GCGGCCGAGACCCUUUUCAGUCAGGCACUGGAGAAGGCGGCGGUCGCACGCACGUCCACCGCUCUCGUACCGUCCCCAAACUACGUGAGAUUAUAACCUUAGUAAACACAGCAUCAAUCAAAACAAAUUCGUAGAGCAAAGAUCAAGAGACCCAAGUGUCGGAGGGCUGUGUGCGAUGGACUUGAGCUCCGUGCGAUCAGCUCCCGACUUGUGAGUUCGAGUGAGCCCGGGAGUGCGACUGGAGCAAAGAAGUGCAAGGCAGACAGAGAGGGAGAGAGUGUGCUCGUGAGGAGGCUGGCCGUGGGAGGAGUCAGGAGCCGCGAGGGCGUGCGGGCUCGGAGGGCGGUUCCCUCAGGAUGCCCACCGCACUCAUCAUCUUCGACCACGUGUUUCUGCUGAUCCUGUUCCUGAUCGCGCUCUUCUUCGGCGUCGUGGCCAUGAGUCUCCGGGGGCGGCAGGGCCGGUCCGCGCACGCCGCCACUGGCAUGGUGUAAGCGCCCCUUCCACGCCCGCGGGUACACGAGUCCCCCCCUUCUCCCUCCGGCGACGCCCACGCUCGAGGGAGCUCACGCCUGUCUCCCCGCCACACUCUCCCUUACAGAGACACGAACAUUUCAGGAAACAGAAACAAUUUUGCAGUGAUUUGCAUACAUUGUGACUGUUUCACUCAGAUAAACAUUGUAGAUUGUUGGACUCGCGGGUGCCCGUUAGACACCCCUACAUGAAUCCCUGUAGAACGAACAGCCCAACCCGAGCGUAGAGAUCACGGAGAGAACAAAAUACACAUUGCUUACUUCCAGUGACGAGAGUGUUUUCGCGCCGCCGCACGUCGGACGCGUUACCCGAGAGGUUAACAGUAUCCGGUGAAAUCAGAUCCCGCGUCCCGACCGGUCGUCCGCGCCCGGCCUCCGCCGCCGGGACCGCAAGAGCGCACGCGGAACGACGAGCGAGGGACCCUUCGCCGAGCACCCUGGAGCCCCAGACGUCCGCGGCCAUGAACGCCCUGCUGGUGCUGGACGCGUGCUUCCUGGCGCUGCUUCUGGUGGUGGCGGUGGCUUGCUUCGUGUAUACUGUGGUGCCGCCCCUUCGCCAGGCGCCUCGCUUCACCCACCUCACCCACGUCAUCACCCAUGAGAUCCCACGCCCGCCCGACGCCGCAGCACCCGUCACCGAAGUCUAGGUCUUCCCGCUCACCGGAACGCUCCAGUCACGAUGCUUGGGGAACCGAAGCAUAUUGUCUCUCACACCCACGGCCCCGAGCCAACGCGCGGCAGCUCCUUCUGGCGCCCGCGCCACGCAGGGGGCCAACUCUCGGCUGGCGACGCCAGAUGUGACCGUGACUGACCUGUGGCGCUGGUCUGGCUGUCAGUUUGGGUGCGCGCGGACACAAACCUACACACAUUUUAAACCUCAGCCCACAUGAACACACACACACUCUCACGUACGCGCGCGCGAGUGUACAGGCAAUAUAAUAAAUGUUAUAUCCAAAUUUAGUGUUCCUAAAUUAUUAGAGGUGAAAAUAAUUUACCCGAAUCUGAAAAUCAACAAAUGUGUUUGGUAAUAUAAAUGCCAUGGAACUGGGAUAAUUAUAAAAAUGUCAAUUGAUGACCAGAUUUGUUUGCAAUACCAGAAAUUCCGACGCUAAUAACACGCUGUUGCAUUCACUUUGCAACACGCGGGACUUGCAUAGUCGCUCGAUCACAUCUGUAUUUAGAAAGCAGUUUCUGAUAUAUCUAAGACUUCACUUUCAGAUUCACAUUACAAUAGCAUGGACGCGUACACUGCAACAGUAAUAAAACCCAAAGCCAUGGCCAACCCCAGACGUCAGUGAAGGUCGCAGGUCAAAGGUCAAAAAUUACAAGUCACAGAUCACGUGACCUUCCAAAUCCUCCGUCACGUAGGGAAAGGAUGGUCAUUAUACUAAAACAAAAAAAAAUACAGAGAAAUAUUUAAUCCUAUUGAUUUGGAAGCGUAGAAUCCAUAUAUCCAACCACGAAUCUAUUUUUCCAAGGCAGGUAAAGUUUAUAUGAAGCAUUAUCUAAAGGGUGAGUGUUACCCGCCCUGUGCAAAGCUGCUUUUGUUUCGAUUAGGGUCAAGCUGUCAAACCUUCAUUUUUUUCUCUACAAUUGGCUCCUUCGUCUUAAGAAAAUGAUUGGGUGGGGGAUGAUUAUAAAUUAUACGCAAAUUAUACAGUAUUAAAAUUAUGAUGUGCAUUAUAUUUAUAAUAAAUAAAUAGUAUAAUUCCC
Molecule: long non-coding RNA, 2246 nt
Organism: Penaeus monodon (black tiger shrimp)
Lineage: Eukaryota; Metazoa; Arthropoda; Malacostraca; Decapoda; Penaeidae
Exons: 2
Source: RefSeq, a predicted model, not a curated record